Non-coding RNA from Acanthosepion pharaonis, 105 nucleotides. NCBI's taxonomy places the organism in Eukaryota, Metazoa, Mollusca, Cephalopoda, Sepiida, Sepiidae. The record is from the annotation of a GenBank genome assembly.
UUACCUGAUGGAAAAUACUAGUUCUCAUUUGACCAGCAAAGUUAAGCAAUGUCAAGCCCAGUCAGUACUUAGAUAGUUGGCCACUUGUGAACACCAUGUACUGUG